CUACGGGAGGCAGCAGUAAGGAAUAUUGGUCAAUGGACGCAAGUCUGAACCAGCCAUGCCGCGUGAAGGAUGAAGGUCCUCUGGAUUGUAAACUUCUUUUAUAUGGGACGAAACCCGGGUAUUCCUACCCGAUUGACGGUACCAUAGGAAUAAGCACCGGCUAACUCCGUGCCAGCAGCCGCGGUAAUA
Molecule: ribosomal RNA, 189 nt
Filed under: agricultural soil bacterium CRS5631T18-2
Lineage: Bacteria
Description: partial 16S ribosomal RNA
Rfam family: Bacterial small subunit ribosomal RNA
Source: RNAcentral